RNAcentral lists this ribosomal RNA (452 nucleotides) under uncultured bacterium. Its description in RNAcentral is "bacterial SSU rRNA". It matches the Rfam family "Bacterial small subunit ribosomal RNA", at positions 30 to 476 of the family's 1533-position model. The record is from RNAcentral.
AUUGAACGCUGGCGGCAUGCCUUACACAUGCAAGUCGAACGGCAGCACGGGAGCUUGCUCCUGGUGGCGAGUGGCGAACGGGUGAGUAAUGCAUCGGAACGUGCCCUGAAGUGGGGGAUAACGUAGCGAAAGUUACGCUAAUACCGCAUAUUCUGUGAGCAGGAAAGCAGGGGAUCUUCGGACCUUGCGCUUUUGGAGCGGCCGAUGUUGGAUUAGCUAGUUGGUGGGGUAAAGGCUCACCAAGGCAACGAUCCGUAGCGGGUCUGAGAGGAUGAUCCGCCACACUGGAACUGAGACACGGUCCAGACUCCUACGGGAGGCAGCAGUGGGGAAUUUUGGACAAUGGGCGCAAGCCUGAUCCAGCCAUGCCGCGUGAGUGAAGAAGGCCUUCGGUUGUAAAGCGUCUUCGGUUGGGUAGAAUUAGCUUGGUUAAUUACCCUAGAGUAGAUGAC